Spinacia oleracea (spinach) is the source of this 6583-nucleotide long non-coding RNA. RefSeq lists it as uncharacterized. Lineage: Eukaryota; Viridiplantae; Streptophyta; Magnoliopsida; Caryophyllales; Amaranthaceae. The record is from RefSeq and is a predicted model, not a curated record. The transcript is spliced from 2 exons.
CUUUUCUCUCUCUCUCUCUCCUGCUCCGCGCACCACCAAUACCUCGUACUCCGUUCUCCCUCCCCGGUGUGCUUCUGGUGAUGUGUGUUGUUUGUGUUGAUGAUUUGUUCUGCCACCUUCCUUGAUUUGCCCCCCCUCUUGUACUUUGCGUCGCCGCCGCCACCGACAGUGACGUUUCGAGGUUUCCAUGCUUGCUACACUACUUGAUUGGUUUCAUUGUGAGGUAAUGCCUCUCUUAUACAUUGAAGAUUGUUGUUGUUGAUGAUGUUAUGUAUCUCCCUCUCUUUUCGCGGCUCUCCUCCCCUGCCUCUAUUGUACUCCCUCUCCUUGUCUGAACCCGCAGAGCUGCUGCUUGUGUUUUUGUUGUUGUCGUUGUUGAUAUUGGUUGUUGCUCAUGUUGGUAAUUCCUACUUCAUGCCUUUCUAUUUUUUUUCUAAAGGUAUAACCCAAGGCCAAUCUUUUCCUAUCAUUUUAUUAUUUAUUUUAGCUCAAUUCCAUUGUAAUAGUUUUAUGGAAUGAAAUUGUCGUUGGUUAUUAUUUUGAUUAUAUAGAAAUGGUUUUAAUUAAAUUAAUUGAACAAAUUUGAUAAUUUAAGUAAGCAAGUCAAACUGAUAUUUCUUCUUCUAAAAAAGUUUCUAAAUGAAAUAUGAUUGAGUUUUCCAAAUUAAUUUUACUAAUCAAGUAAAAAUUUUAAUUAUAGUUUCAAUCAUAAUCCAUGUCUAAUAACCCAAAUCGGUUUUCUUGAGGUAGAAUAUGUGUCAUGAUAAUUUCAUAACUAUGUUUUCGAAAAUCAUUUAAGAUUCUAAAGAGUUCAUCAAGUUCUAAUUGAUUAUAGUGAGUAGUUUGUUAGUUCAAGUCUUUCUUGUUGAGAUAAUUGACUGGAGAGGGGUUAAAGAGAUUUGAAUCAUGGAAUUAAGCGGGGCAUGAUGAUUGAAUGAGGCUUGGGAUUUAUGUGUGGCGGAUCGAGGUACACAUUGUCCAACUGUCUUCGUUGUUUGAUAUAUAUUUUCUAAAUUAAUUUUAGCAAAUGGUGUAUAGUUGUAUAUAUAUUCUUAUAGUUAUGAUUGUUGGUUUGUAAUGAAUUUUGUUUAUUGAUUUGUUUAAAUGAAAAGAUUUAUUGAAUUAAUUUAUUUGUGGAUGAAAUGAAACUGUUUUGGAUUUUGAAAUACUUGUGAACGAGCUAAGAAUACACGUUUUAUGAAUUAAAAGUACCGAUUUUCAUGAAAUACCCCGGAGUUUUAGCAUAAAUCACCAAACGCCCAUCAAGUUUCAAAAAUACAUAAAAUGCACCUCACAAAUUACUUAAUACCCAAGAUACCCUUACUAACUACGCGUUGUUAAUCCUUCGUUAACCUAGUUUCAUAAUUCACCAAGUAUCCCUAUUUUAAUACGUACUAGUUUUAAGCCCGUGCGAUGCACGGUUUGGUGUUAAUAUGUUGUGUUUAAAAGCUUAAAUUCUAAGAAUUGAACAAUUUCAAGUACCUUGAAACAAAAGGCAUAACAUGAAUUGUAUACACCUCUACGGCUCUACCUCUAGCCCACGGAUUCAUCUUCAAACAUAUCAAAAUCUCCACACACCUACUCCAAAUAUCAAGCUCGCUAUAUAGUCUAUAGAAUAUAGCAAGCCCGGUUUACUCAUAAACACAAGACUUUAAUUCAUGAUAUAGAACACUCUUGCCUAAUUCACACACCAAAGAAACACUUAUAAGAGACCUACAAAUUAAAACCAUUAUAUUUGUUCUCACCUCACGAACAUUAAACAAUCUCUGUCAUUUAUGUCCACAGGUAAAAGAAUGGUCAUAUUAUACAAACUAUGGAUAAUUGAUAUGAUAUAUUUGUGGCUAAAGAAAACUAUAUGAAACGAAUCUUAGGCCUAUAUGAAGGAGGUGGGAUUGGCUUGAAGUCUUGUACUCACAAUGAGAUGAAACAUGUAAUCAUAUACACGGUCCAUGUGAAGGUAUCCAUGUAAUCUUGACCAGCUUUGCCAAUGUUGUGAGCCUGCGACCUUCGGACAUUACAAAUCAUAAAAACAUAUCUUGAUCAUUAUUGAAAAACAAAAUAAGUAAAUCGUCUCUUUAAAUAUUUGUACUGCAGUAGUUUGCAAGUUGAUCUCCUGGGUCAAUCCCAAUAAGAAAAUUAUCCUAUUCAUGUCAAUACCAGGGAAUUUGAUUCCAGAAGCAUAAUACUCCGUAAAAAAAAACUCUUAAAUAACAUUUAUUAUUAAUGAUAUAAAUUAAUUAGCUUACAAUUUUGUAUUUAUCCUUUCUUUUGCAUAUUUUUGAUAUUUAUCUUAUAGCUCAAUACAAAUAUAUCUUAUCAUAUUAUUAUAUUUUAAUUUAGUUUAAGAUAAAAUUAAUUCUAAUUUUUAUAAUUAUACAAUCCUACGUGCCAUUAAGUUUUCUAUGUGGGGCUCUAAUAUUGGAUUAAUGUUUGAAGUUUAUUUUAGAUUUGAUUUAUUUAUUUAUUUUUAGAGUGUUUAAUUUUGGAUAAAGUUAUAUAUAUUAGUAAUUAAUUAAUUAAUUAAAAUAUCUAUGUAUCAUCUAAUUAAUUAUCUACGUGGCACUCAAUUUUUUUUAUUUCAAAAAUAAAUUAGAAAUCUUAUUUUUCAUUGGCCGAAACCAUUAGUAAUCCUACUUGGCGCUCUAAUAUUUCAGCAAAAAUGCCUCCUUUUUAUAUACUUCCUCCAUUUUUUUUAAUUGCACCAUCUUUGAUUUCACGCUUGCCAAUGCACUAUUUUAACCACUAAUAUCUCUCAUUAUACAUUUUAAAAAAUUAUAAAAUUUUGAUGAUUUGAAAGUAUAUUUCGAGACGAAUCUAACAAGAUCCCACAUGAAUAUAUUUUUCUUUUAAUAUAAAUCACAAAAAAUAACUAUAUAAGAAUAUGUGAAUAGUGCUAAAACCAAGAUGGUGCAAUUAUUAAAAAAUGGAGGAAGUAUAUAUUAGAUUUCACCAUAUACCCUUAUUCUCAAACAUAAUUCACCAAAUAUAUAUAACUUAAAACUACCAGUUUUGAUAUUCAACAGCUAGGUUUUGUGUUUGAAAUUAACUGUUGCUUAUUGUUUGCUUAUAAAUACCCAUUUUCUGACUGUUUAUUGUAGCUUAGACAUUGUUUUGUUAAUUUCAUAUCAUUUUGUCAUGAGUUUUCUUUCAACAUCAUCAUCCACAUCCUAUGAAUCCACAUUUGUAAGAUUCCCAAACAAAUUAUGUUAUUGUGGGAGGUAAGAACUUUUUUGUUUUGCACAAUGCCUUCUUGAUCCACUAAAGUCAUGAUAAUAUCAAAUGCUUAUUAUGAACAAACUUAGUAUGAAGAGAAAAUAAUAAUGAUUCCUAUAAAUUAGUGGUGAGAUUAUGUAAGCUACUUUAUAUAAUAUGACAAUGCGAAUAUCUCCAUGAUUAUUUUGAAUCCUAUAUAUUGUGUAGCUGUGUAUUGAGUGGAACACACAAUCGGCAUUAUUAUUUUCUCUUCUUACUACGUUUGUUCAUAAUUAACCUUUGAUAUAAUCAUGGCUUUAGUGGAUCAAGAAGGCAUAUUGUGCAAAACGAAAAAGUUCUUACCUCCCACAAUAACAUAAUUUGUUUGGGACUCUUAUAUACGUGGACUCAUAGAGCGUGGAUGAUGAUUUUGAAAGAAAAAUCAUGACAAAAAUGAUAUAAAAUCAAAAAAACAAUGUCUAAGCUACAAUAAACAUUCAGAAAAUGGGUAUUUAAAAGGAAACAAUAAGCAACGGUUAACUUUAAAACACAAAACCUAGUCGUGGAGCAUCAAAAUUGCUAUUUCUAAGUUGGUAUUUGGUGAAUUAUGCUUCAGAAUAAGGGUAUUUGGUGAAAUAAGUAUUAAAAUAGUGAUAUUUGAUGAAUUAUGAAACUAGGCUAACGGCGGAUUAACGACGCAUCAUUAGUAAGGGUAUCUUGGGUAUUAAGUCAUUUGUGAGGGGCAUUUUAUGUAUUUCUGAAACUUAAUGAGCGUUUGGUGAAUUAUGCUAAAACUUAGGGGUAUUUCAUGAAAAAACCGUUAAAUUAUAAAGAUAUCUUGCUUGAGGUUGGAUUUGUGAAUAAAGUACUAAAAUUGUUAGUGAUGGAGUAUGUCAACGGAUCUAAAAGGAUGUGAAAUGAUUGUGAGUGAUCUAAGAACGUGUGUUCUGAGAAUUGAACCUAUCGAGAAUACUUGAGGUUGAAUUUGUGAUUAAGUUAGUGACAUGCAUGGUUAAUCAUGGAUUUUGUGAGUGGAUCUAAAGGUUAAGAGUCUUAAACAAGAAUUAGUCGUAAAUUUAGUACGUUAAUUUUUAAAGGAUAGUCUUGGACAUAAUGGAACUAAUCUUACUCGUGUUCCUACGGUUUAAUGUUGAAUUAUAAGGGUUCAAAAUUAAAAGUUAGCAUAAUCAAAGAUAUAAAUGAAAACGAUCUUAAAGGUGUUGUUUUUCAAGGAAGGUUUUGAUCUUAAAAGGAUAAGUUUUUUCAAGGAAGAUUUAUAAUUUAGUUUUACCGAAUUAUACUUUCUUUGAAUUUCUCAAAGUAGCAUGUUUUUCUUUCCUAAAAUUUUGAAUGAUGGAAUAGAAGUAGUUUUGGAAAACUCUAAAGAUCUUUAAUGAAUAUAGAGAUUAGAAUAACCAUUCAUUGUAAUAUAUUUGUUGUGAACGUGUUUUUAUGAAAAGACAUUAAUUUUACAAGGAAAAUAAUUAUUUCAAUAAAGUCUUACAAAAAUGAUUUUAUAUAAAGAACGAUCGAUGAAAUGAUUUUUUCUUAAUUAGAAACUAAACUAUGGAGUUUUGAAACUAGUGAAUCUAUAAAGAAACUACUAAGUAUCAUUUACUUGAUAAAGAUUAUUUUUAAACAUUAAAAUUUAUUUAAAUGUUUUGUAAAAUACAUUUCAGGCACACUAAGCUCACCUAGUUAAACUCAACAUUUAUAAUUAAAUCAUACUAUGAAUCUAAUCAAUAAUUCUCUAGAUUCUCGAUGAAUUUAUAUUAAGGAUGUUACCCUUUAGAGUUCAAAUUAUGAAUUAGUGGGAUAAAAAAUUUAAUGAAAGAAAUAAAAUCAAGAAAAGUGUUCAUAUCCUAACUAGUCCACUACGGUGUGAGUGGUGUAAGUACAAAAAGUCAACGAGUCUUGAGAAUGUUCAUUAAUCGGGUUAAGGAAUCAUUUUGAGAAGGAAAUUGAAUUGAAUUAUAAUGAAAAAGAAGCAGAUACAUGAUUAAGGGAAUGCGAAUAAAGUUUUGAGAUCGAAAUCUUAUAUAUAAGUUGUUAAUUAAAUGCUGUGUUAGGGGAAACUAGCCGUGUAUGUGUUGUGUGGUGCUUACAUGCAUCGGUGAUGAAAAACAUUGGAAGGGAGUGCUACAACCGUAGAAUCGUGGUAAACGGGCUUGACCCAUAUUUGAAAGUGAGUGCUACAACAGUAGACUCGCGGUAAAUGGGCUUGACCCAUAUUUGGAAGCGAGUUUUACUCAUGGUAAGCGGGCUUGACCCGUAGUUAGGGACAUGUCCUAGUUAAGUCUUGCAAGCGUAUGUUUAUCAGGAGGACAACGACCCCCAUGGUAUAGAGACAGUUGGUCAUGGUGACCCCUGUCUAUUCGUGUUCACUUUCCCCAAAUAAAAAACUAUUAUGUUGAGAUUGAAUUGUGUAUUUUCGCAUUGAGUUACAAAUUUGUUAUGAAUAUAUAUCAUGCAUUUGAAUUGUGUAUGAGAAUUUUAUGAAGCAAGUUAUAUGACUUUGGCAAUGUUGUGCCAAUGAAUUUCACAUUGAGUUGUAUAUAUAUAUUGGGUUUCACCUUUUGGCAUAAAUUAUGGUUGGGAAAUUUACAUUGGAGAAAUACUUGGGCUGUUGGUAUGAGUAAUUGUCGAAUAAUGUUAUGAUUGAAAAUGAUUAUGAGUAUGAGAAUCACUAGAUGAAUCAUAAGUAGUGAGCUUAAUUAUUGAUGAGAUUGUGAAUUGGGAAAUCAUGUGAGAUGUUAAGUAAGGUUUCAAUUUGCAGCAAGUAAUACUAUGUUAUAUUAUUAAAUCUUUGUUUGAAUAAUAUGGAAUUCGUGAAAUAGAUUUCAAAGGAAUUAUAACGUUAUUAUCGAGUAAUGUUUUCCAAGUGUGUUGAAAAGGUGAAGUUGCUUUUCAAAGAAAAACAUAAAAACUAAAGUUAAAAUGAGCCUCCUAUCAAAUGCAUUUCAGAUUGGAUAAUGUGUACUCAUAUUACCGCUGAUUUUGUUCUAUGAACAUGUCCUAUUGGGGGCAGAGUUAAAUUGUUUUGCAGGAUGUAAUGGUCGAGUCUAAGUUCAGGUGUAGAAGAUGCUUAGAGUUUUCGGAAGGUCUGAUAUGUUCCAAGGCUGGAGUAUGAAUUUUCCGUUGAGUUAUUCUAGAGUUUAUUAAUGGGAUGUAAUAUUUAUUCUAAGAGUUUCUAGUUUAUAUGUGGAUAUCAAAUCCCUGUUUAAAGAUUGUAAUUAAGUUAAGUUUGUUUCAUUUAAGACUAAGUAUGCAUAGUAAGCAGCUCAUUAUAGGCGGGCUAUUAUAAGUCCUCUCCCCCUUUUUGCAUCAAGAAAAAUUUCCCGGUUGGCAGAAACUGGUUGUUCAUACAAAUAAUACGAACUACUUCGUACAA